GUGAAUCAUCGAAUCUUUGAACGCAAAUUGCGCCUUUUGCUGAUCGCAUGUGCGUUUGAGUUCGCCAUUUAACAAAUAAUGUGCAUUUCGUGUGCACACGUUGAUGAGCUUUCCAAAAUUAUGUAUUAUUAUUUUUGGGGUGGCAUAAUAAACAGCGCGAUGCUUUUUUGCAUUUCGAGGGUAGUAAAAUUUUUUCUAUCUUGGUUUUUGAUA
RNAcentral lists this unclassified non-coding RNA (213 nucleotides) under Paraglomerales sp. RNAcentral's name for it is "partial internal transcribed spacer 2". The record is from RNAcentral. Lineage: Eukaryota; Fungi; Glomeromycota; Glomeromycetes; Paraglomerales.